UUUUAUUUUUCGCAUUUAUUUUUAUUGUAUCGAGAUUUGUGAUUUUUGGUCGUUCACCUAUUCACCCCCCUCUAGGUGAUAGAUACAAUCUAGAUAGAUCCUUGGGCUCCUCAAAACUUUCACGUUGGCGCUCAAAUUUGACAGACAGGCUCAAUUAAAAUCAAUCAGAGGAAUGUGAUCUUAACUUUUCAGUUUCGAAUCAUUUUUUGUCACCGAAAGCUCUACCGACUAGAAUCUCUAGCAGAUAGCAGUCAGCUUUUAUUUUCUACUUUUCGGGUGUCGGAAUGAAAUGAAACUUUAAAUCUAUCCUCAUAAAAAUAAUUCCAACAUAUUCUCAAAUUUUCAUAAUUUUCUGACACUGAAUUUUUAGCUGACAGAUUAGUCCCGAUUCUUUAAGAAAAUUCUAAAUCUUUUAUUUUCAUCCCAAUUUCACCAUAAUCACUUUUAAUUUACCUUUUACCUUUUCUAAGUCAAUAAAAAUAGUAUCUCACACUAUUUUUAUUUACACUUGAUUUUACUAAAACAUCCUUCAAAAUCUGCAUUCUGUAGAAUUGCGU
RNAcentral lists this long non-coding RNA (557 nucleotides) under Ananas comosus (pineapple). RNAcentral describes it as "long non-coding RNA (ACOM_LNC005622)". Lineage: Eukaryota; Viridiplantae; Streptophyta; Magnoliopsida; Poales; Bromeliaceae. The record is from RNAcentral.